This 630-nucleotide long non-coding RNA is filed under the name Sinocyclocheilus grahami. Its description in RNAcentral is "lncRNA (ENSSGRG00000029061.1)". The record is from RNAcentral. Lineage: Eukaryota; Metazoa; Chordata; Actinopteri; Cypriniformes; Cyprinidae.
GGAUGAGUUGGACGUCACAGUGGAGGUGUGUCGACCCAGCACAACUCCAGCAGAGGGAAAACAGGCUGGUGAAAACAGUCUGAGUGAAUACCAGCUUGCUCAAGAGGACUCAAAGGAGUCUGAAUCCAUGCACAGGUGUAUUCCUACCAUCAGUUGUUUGCCAGACCUCGCUGAGAUUGCAGACCUCUCCAGCAUAUCCUGUUCACCAGCCAAUCACCUAGAAUGGGUGGAGUCAGCUGAAGCCCCGCCCAUCCCUCUCAGCAGAGGACAUCCACCCUGUAACAGCACCCCACGCAGCCCAAAAAGCCAUAGGACACACCUUAAAGAUGUGCAGGUUGGCACUGAGCCCCUCCCUCACCUCCAGAGCUUGUUGGACACGUCACCAUGGGGCAGUGCUCCAUCCCAUACUGUCUGCACAGAGAGUUACGCCACAGUCAGCGCAGGAGACAGCAGCACUGUCAGUCAAUGAAUCAUGAUAUUUGAAUAAUAUAUUUCUGUCAACAAUCAUAUCGGUAUCGGGCAAUAAAUGUGACUUUUUAUGUUUUCCAUAUCAGACCAAUAAGUAAAAUAGACUGAUAUACAGCUGACAGUUUAUACUCAAAUAAACACCCCAGAUUGUUUACACCAGUU